This 403-nucleotide ribosomal RNA is filed under the name Verrucomicrobiota bacterium. Its description in RNAcentral is "Verrucomicrobia bacterium partial 16S ribosomal RNA". It matches the Rfam family "Bacterial small subunit ribosomal RNA", at positions 355 to 776 of the family's 1533-position model. Lineage: Bacteria; Pseudomonadati; Verrucomicrobiota. The record is from RNAcentral.
UGGGGAAUAUUGCACAAUGGGGGAAACCCUGAUGCAGCGACGCCGCGUGAUUUAGAAGGCCUUCGGGUUGUAAAAAUCUUUUGUAUGGGAAGAAAAUGACAGUACCAUACGAAUAAGGACCGGCUAAUUCCGCGCCAGCAGCCGCGGUAAUACGGAAGGUUCGGGCGUUAUCCGGAUUUAUUGGGUUUAAAGGGAGCGUAGGCCGUUUGGUAAGCGUGUUGUGAAAUGUAGGAGCUCAACUUCUAGAUUGCAGCGCGAACUGUCAGACUUGAGUGCGCACAACGUAGGCGGAAUUCAUGGUGUAGCGGUGAAAUGCUUAGAUAUCAUGAAGAACUCCGAUUGCGAAGGCAGCUUACGGGAGCGCAACUGACGCUGAAGCUCGAAGGUGCGGGUAUCGAACAGG